This 445-nucleotide long non-coding RNA is filed under the name Medicago truncatula (barrel medic). Its description in RNAcentral is "long non-coding RNA (MTRU_LNC006818)". Lineage: Eukaryota; Viridiplantae; Streptophyta; Magnoliopsida; Fabales; Fabaceae. The record is from RNAcentral.
UGCUAAGGAGAUAACCUCUUGUUUAAGCUGAUUUAGAAUCAACAACAGAAUCAUCAUGUGAUCAUCACUUUGAAGGACAUGGAAUUAUUUUUCAUAAAGUCAUGUAUAGUUCAUAUUUAGUUGGAAUACAACACCAUUGAAACACUAAGAAACGGCUAUCUCAUACUGUCAGCAUUUUUUGUCAGACAGAUCCAUAAUUUCAUAUUUUUCAUGGUCGCAGUUAAAACAAAGCUAAUAAUUCCAUGCAAACUUUUAACUGUAUCUACACUAAAAUGUGAAAAAUAUAAUUAAAAAAUAAUCCUGCAGAUUUGGAUGAACACUUGUCAUCGUUAUUGAUAUAUAAUGGCAUACAUCUACCCCGUCAACAAAAUAAUCAACUAGUACAAAAGACCUCAAGAAAUACAAGAAAUGGAACACCACUGGGAAUAUUCCCUGAUAACACGAG